UCCCUUGUAGCUCAGUUGGUAAAGAAUCUGCCUGCAAUGUGGAAGACCCAGGUUCGAUUCCUGGGUUGGGAA
RNAcentral lists this transfer RNA (72 nucleotides) under Bos taurus (domestic cattle). It matches the Rfam family "tRNA". From Rfam's summary of the family: Transfer RNA (tRNA) molecules are approximately 80 nucleotides in length. Their secondary structure includes four short double-helical elements and three loops (D, anti-codon, and T loops). Further hydrogen bonds mediate the characteristic L-shaped molecular structure. tRNAs have two regions of fundamental functional importance: the anti-codon, which is responsible for specific mRNA codon recognition, and the 3' end, to which the tRNAs corresponding amino acid is attached (by aminoacyl-tRNA synthetases). tRNAs cope with the degeneracy of the genetic code in two manners: having more than one tRNA (with a specific anti-codon) for a particular amino acid; and 'wobble' base-pairing, i.e. permitting non-standard base-pairing at the 3rd anti-codon position. The record is from Rfam by way of RNAcentral. Lineage: Eukaryota; Metazoa; Chordata; Mammalia; Artiodactyla; Bovidae. RNAcentral also lists the same sequence under 3 other names.